UACAGAGGUCUCAACCGUUGUUCGGAUUCAUUGGGCGUAAAGGGUGCGUAGGCGGUCGGGUAAGUCGGAUGUGAAAUCUCAGGGCUCAACCCUGAAACUGCAUUCGAUACUGCCUGGCUAGGGUACUGGAGAGGAGACUGGAAUUUACGGUGUAGCAGUGAAAUGCGUAGAUAUCGUAAGGAAGACCAGUGGCGAAGGCGAGUCUCUGGACAGUUACCGACGCUGAGGCACGAAGGUCAGGGGAGCAAACGGG
This 253-nucleotide ribosomal RNA is filed under the name uncultured bacterium. Its description in RNAcentral is "partial 16S ribosomal RNA". It matches the Rfam family "Bacterial small subunit ribosomal RNA", at positions 524 to 776 of the family's 1533-position model. The record is from RNAcentral.